GGGUUGUGAGGUUAAGCGACUAAGCGUACACGGUGGAUGCCCUGGCAGUCAGAGGCGAUGAAGGGCGUGCUAAUCUGCGAUAAGCGCCGGUAAGGUGAUAUGAACCGUUAUAACCGACGAUACCCGAAUGGGGAAACCCAGUGUGACUCGUCACACUAUCAUUAACUGAAUCCAUAGGUUAAUGAGGCGAACCGGGGGAACUGAAACAUCUAAGUACCCCGAGGAAAAGAAAUCAACCGAGAUUCCCCCAGUAGCGGCGAGCGAACGGGGAGGAGCCCAGAGCCUGAAUCAGCAUGUGUGUUAGUGGAAGCGUCUGGAAAGGCGCGCGAUACAGGGUGACAGCCCCGUACACAAAAGCGCAUGUGCUGUGAGCUCGAUGAGUAGGGCGGGACACGUGGUAUCCUGUCUGAAUAUGGGGGGACCAUCCUCCAAGGCUAAAUACUCCUGACUGACCGAUAGUGAACCAGUACCGUGAGGGAAAGGCGAAAAGAACCCCGGCGAGGGGAGUGAAAAAGAACCUGAAACCGUGUACGUACAAGCAGUGGGAGCACCCUUUUGGGUGUGACUGCGUACCUUUUGUAUAAUGGGUCAGCGACUUAUAUUCUGUAGCAAGGUUAACCGAAUAGGGGAGCCGGAGGGAAACCGAGUCUUAAUUGGGCGUUAAGUUGCAGGGUAUAGACCCGAAACCCGGUGAUCUAGCCAUGGGCAGGUUGAAGGUUGGGUAACACUAACUGGAGGACCGAACCGACUAAUGUUGAAAAAUUAGCGGAUGACCUGUGGCUGGGGGUGAAAGGCCAAUCAAACCGGGAGAUAGCUGGUUCUCCCCGAAAGCUAUUUAGGUAGCGCCUCGUGAAUUCAUCUCCGGGGGUAGAGCACUGUUUCGGCUAGGGGGCCAUCCCGGCUUACCAACCCGAUGCAAACUGCGAAUACCGGAGAAUGUUAUCACGGGAGACACACGGCGGGUGCUAACGUCCGUCGUGAAGAGGGAAACAACCCAGACCGCCAGCUAAGGUCCCAAAGUCAUGGUUAAGUGGGAAACGAUGUGGGAAGGCCCAGACAGCCAGGAUGUUGGCUUAGAAGCAGCCAUCAUUUAAAGAAAGCGUAAUAGCUCACUGGUCGAGUCGGCCUGCGCGGAAGAUGUAACGGGGCUAAACCAUGCACCGAAGCUGCGGCAGCGACGCUUAUGCGUUGUUGGGUAGGGGAGCGUUCUGUAAGCCUGUGAAGGUGUGUCGUGAGGCAUGCUGGAGGUAUCAGAAGUGCGAAUGCUGACAUAAGUAACGAUAAAGCGGGUGAAAAGCCCGCUCGCCGGAAGACCAAGGGUUCCUGUCCAACGUUAAUCGGGGCAGGGUGAGUCGACCCCUAAGGCGAGGCCGAAAGGCGUAGUCGAUGGGAAACGGGUUAAUAUUCCCGUACUUGGUGUUACUGCGAAGGGGGGACGGAGAAGGCUAUGUUGGCCGGGCGACGGUUGUCCCGGUUUAAGCGUGUAGGUGUGUGUUCCAGGUAAAUCCGGUUCACUUUAACACUGAGGCGUGAUGACGAGGCACUACGGUGCUGAAGCAACAAAUGCCCUGCUUCCAGGAAAAGCCUCUAAGCAUCAGGUAACAUCAAAUCGUACCCCAAACCGACACAGGUGGUCAGGUAGAGAAUACCAAGGCGCUUGAGAGAACUCGGGUGAAGGAACUAGGCAAAAUGGUGCCGUAACUUCGGGAGAAGGCACGCUGACGCGUAGGUGAAGUGAUUUACUCACGGAGCUGAAGUCAGUCGAAGAUACCAGCUGGCUGCAACUGUUUAUUAAAAACACAGCACUGUGCAAACACGAAAGUGGACGUAUACGGUGUGACGCCUGCCCGGUGCCGGAAGGUUAAUUGAUGGGGUCAGCGCAAGCGAAGCUCCUGAUCGAAGCCCCGGUAAACGGCGGCCGUAACUAUAACGGUCCUAAGGUAGCGAAAUUCCUUGUCGGGUAAGUUCCGACCUGCACGAAUGGCGUAAUGAUGGCCAGGCUGUCUCCACCCGAGACUCAGUGAAAUUGAACUCGCUGUGAAGAUGCAGUGUACCCGCGGCAAGACGGAAAGACCCCGUGAACCUUUACUAUAGCUUGACACUGAACAUUGAGCCUUGAUGUGUAGGAUAGGUGGGAGGCUUUGAAGCGUGGACGCCAGUCUGCGUGGAGCCGACCUUGAAAUACCACCCUUUAAUGUUUGAUGUUCUAACGUGGACCCGUGAUCCGGGUUGCGGACAGUGUCUGGUGGGUAGUUUGACUGGGGCGGUCUCCUCCUAAAGAGUAACGGAGGAGCACGAAGGUUGGCUAAUCCUGGUCGGACAUCAGGAGGUUAGUGCAAUGGCAUAAGCCAGCUUGACUGCGAGCGUGACGGCGCGAGCAGGUGCGAAAGCAGGUCAUAGUGAUCCGGUGGUUCUGAAUGGAAGGGCCAUCGCUCAACGGAUAAAAGGUACUCCGGGGAUAACAGGCUGAUACCGCCCAAGAGUUCAUAUCGACGGCGGUGUUUGGCACCUCGAUGUCGGCUCAUCACAUCCUGGGGCUGAAGUAGGUCCCAAGGGUAUGGCUGUUCGCCAUUUAAAGUGGUACGCGAGCUGGGUUUAGAACGUCGUGAGACAGUUCGGUCCCUAUCUGCCGUGGGCGCUGGAGAACUGAGGGGGGCUGCUCCUAGUACGAGAGGACCGGAGUGGACGCAUCACUGGUGUUCGGGUUGUCAUGCCAAUGGCACUGCCCGGUAGCUAAAUGCGGAAGAGAUAAGUGCUGAAAGCAUCUAAGCACGAAACUUGCCCCGAG
Molecule: ribosomal RNA, 2788 nt
Filed under: Salmonella enterica
Lineage: Bacteria; Pseudomonadati; Pseudomonadota; Gammaproteobacteria; Enterobacterales; Enterobacteriaceae
Description: partial 23S ribosomal RNA
Rfam family: Bacterial large subunit ribosomal RNA
Source: RNAcentral